This 468-nucleotide ribosomal RNA is filed under the name uncultured bacterium. Its description in RNAcentral is "partial 16S ribosomal RNA". It matches the Rfam family "Bacterial small subunit ribosomal RNA", at positions 28 to 507 of the family's 1533-position model. The record is from RNAcentral.
GACGAACGCUGGCGGCGUGCUUAACACAUGCAAGUCGAACGGAAAGGCCCUGCUUUUGUGGGGUGCUCGAGUGGCGAACGGGUGAGUAACACGUGAGUAACCUGCCCUUGACUUUGGGAUAACUUCAGGAAACUGGGGCUAAUACCGGAUAGGAGCUCCUGCUGCAUGGGGGGGGUUGGAAAGUUUCGGCGGUUGGGGAUGGACUCGCGGCUUAUCAGCUUGUUGGUGGGGUAGUGGCUUACCCAGGCUUUGACGGGUAGCCGGCCUGAGAGGGUGACCGGCGACAUUGGGACUGAGAUACGGCCCAGACUCCUACGGGAGGCAGCAGUGGGGAAUAUUGCACAACGGGCGGAAGCCUGAUGCAGCAACGCCGCGUGCGGGAUGACGGCCUUCGGGUUGUAAACCGCUUUCGCCUGUGACGAAGCGUGAGUGACGGUAAUGGGUAAAGAAGCACCGGCUAACUACGUG